CGGGCUGUAGCGCAGUUUGGUUAGCGCGCUGCGUUCGGGACGCAGAGGUCGGAGGUUCAAAUCCUCUCAGCCCGACAA
This 78-nucleotide transfer RNA is filed under the name Actinomycetota bacterium. Its description in RNAcentral is "Actinobacteria bacterium tRNA-Pro". It matches the Rfam family "tRNA". From Rfam's summary of the family: Transfer RNA (tRNA) molecules are approximately 80 nucleotides in length. The record is from RNAcentral. Lineage: Bacteria; Bacillati; Actinomycetota.